GUACUCUUAAGUCUCGUUUCCACCAAGCAGUCUGGUUCAUUUCGGUUUGGUACGGUACACAUUUAUUGGCGUUUCCACCAUGUCAGAAGUUGGGAAUGGUACCAAAACAAGGGAUCCGUACCGAUCCUUAAAUAACAUCUUAUCAGAUAAUUUUCUUACACACGGUCAGGUCUGUUUUUAGGAACCUUUAUAGUCUAAUUUUAAGGUAUCCUUGUGUUUUUUUUCCAUGGACAAAUGUUUAGGUUUGUCUUUAGAUCCCCUAAACCAGCUGCUUUAAGUUUCCCUUUGGCCAUUCUUUGAAAGAACAAGGUAUACUUGAGCUUCAGUUUGAAGAUACUUAUGCCUGUUUUAUUUUUAUGAAUCGAGUCUGUUUUAAAGAAAACUUUAUUGUUCGUUACUUGCCUUCUUUCUCUUGGUACAAUCUGUCCAAAUGUCCUUGUUUUAAACUUUCAGAGGUUCAGAAUGAAUGUUUCCAAUUGCUGAUCUGCUUGAGUCCUGCUACCUGCUGGCUGGAUGUGAAUGAAUUAAAUUACC
This is a long non-coding RNA of Labrus mixtus (cuckoo wrasse), 534 nucleotides long. RefSeq lists it as uncharacterized. NCBI's taxonomy places the organism in Eukaryota, Metazoa, Chordata, Actinopteri, Labriformes, Labridae. The transcript is spliced from 3 exons. The record is from RefSeq and is a predicted model, not a curated record.